GCUCUGGCUCACUGCUGAAGCAGCUUUACGCCCAGUUUCCACUCCCUCCUUGCGAAGAUAACAACGGGUUUCUGCCAACAGGCAAGGCAGGGCGCAGGCUCGUUGCACUAACGCCGUAGGAAAUGGCUGUCAGAAGAAAUCACGCUUCCACUCUACCUCGAGAUUCACACGUUGCUUCCACCAUCCUCUGGAGCAGCGCUGGAAGCCUACCUACGUGCUCAGGAGUCGCUCAGAUUCUUCAAAAACUAACAAUUUAAUCAAAAUCUGCGCGACACAGCAGUUGUUGACCCACUGAACAGAUUCAAAGUGAAGACUGGGAUGUUUCCUGGCAGAGGGUGAGAUAUCUGCCACAUCCAGGAGAUGGUUAUCAAGAAAUUUAUCAGUUAAAGCAAGAGAUACUUGCUCUGGAAGGAGUUUACUCGGUCACGUCCCGUAAAUGGGUGUGGAAAAAGGGCAGAAGUACAAAAAGGGAAACGGAAUGGGAGAAAUUAAGCCCUCAGUGCUGGUUUUGCACGACACCCAGAGGAACAUUGCGGCUACUGCGAAAUGAAAACAUUCCAGCCCCGAGGAACUGCAAGGUAAGGGGAAAUCCCGUGCAGCUGGGUGAUGGGGUCUGGUGUUUUUGGUGUUUUGCUGGCUGACGCCGCGAUUGUUGAAGGGAGGAGUGUGGGUGGGGUUUAGCAAUAAGCUGAGGAGGGUAAGCGAACGACCUAACCUUUCAUUAAGCCUUCCUCCUCGCGUCUCAGCGGCUCCAAACGUGAGGGGAUGCGUUUGAUAAACAGAAAAACGCAGUUGGGAACCCAGAGGCUGGAUGUCUGAUGGCAGAACCUCCGUGAAAGGAAAAAAACCCUCCCCAGUGUUCCUACAAAGCUAAUUAUGAGAAUUCUCCAACCCACAAACUUCAAAAGGUUGAUCUGCAAUGCAACGAGCCAGCGGGCAGAAGGAAAAAUACCUCGCAUAUUUUUCUUCCUCUAUGCGUUUGAGUUCUGCGACGGCCUCAGCCAGUAACUUCUUCUCCUGAGCAAGCUCUUCCUGCUCCUUCGCGUUUCUCUGCACUGUAAAAAAAAAAAAAACACAAAAAGACUUUUAGAAGAUAAAAGUCUAAAAAGUCUCAGCCUAAACAGCAAGCCUGAGAUUUGUCAUUUCCCAGGAGGCACCCAAAAAAUAGGAAGCUUCACAUUCAUGCAGCCAGUUAAGUAGAAGUGGUUUUAGUUUCGGAGGAUCUGGAAGUUCCUUAGAAGUCGUUACAAGAAAAGAGCUUUCUUCUGCAUGAUUUUAAAUGAGUGAAACAUUGCAAUUGAGCUUGGAAUAAGAACUUUGAUGUUUUACAACCAGGAUUUUCAGAGCUUCCGAUUCCUUCCUGUCAUUAUUUUUUAAAAAAGCAGUGGGAUAUUUAUCUCGCCAACAUCAGCUUUCGGUGCCCUGCACGACCAGUCAAUUGCUACGCAUCAACAGCUGCAAAAUGAAGAUGAAGUUUGAAGUAAAUCACAAAGUCAACGCUAAAUGCUGCUCUGCCAAAGUCAGCUCAGCUACACUGCAAGCUCCCCCUGCAGGGAGUUGGCUGCCAGUGCUCACAGCUCUGUUGGAUCGGAGCGCUGGGGAGGAGCAGUGGGAGAAGGGGCUGAGAAGAUAAAAAGCUCCCCACCGUUUCCAUCUCCCACAAAAGCUUUUAGAAGCUUUGAAGGCUAAAAUCCACGACGUGCUAAGUUUCAAAGGCCGUCUUUCCCUCUGUCAACAGGAACGCAUUCGCCACGGCUCUGGCAAAGAGGCUUAGCAUGACAGGAGAGCCUCAGAUAGUAACAAAAUCAGCGAGGAUACAAAUAAAGCGUGGAUUAAUUUCAACGUCUUGUAAGCCUAACGUGAAAAGGGACUUUCAAAGAGUACUGAAUUGAGGAUGAUCUGGAAAUUACCAGCAAUCGAGCCUCUUCUUCCUUCAGCCGCUUCUCCUCCUCUUUGUGAGCGCUGAGCGCUGCUACCUGGGCGCCGAGGACGUCCAGGAUUUCCCGAUUCUGUUUGGAUAAUUUCUGCACAUCCACCGCCUCUCGCCUUUCCUUAGCCAACCUGUCCUCCUUCCAAAGCUCUGCGAACAUCUCCUCCUCCUCCUCCCGCUGUUUUUUCAGUUCCUCCUUCAGAGUUAGCUGGGCCAGCCGCUCCGUGCACAAUUCCCUCUGAUGCUGCUUCAUCCGCUGCGUGCGGAGCUCAUCGCAUUGUUCUCUGGAUGGCGACAUAAACGAUAAAAAAGGAAAAAGGAGGUGAGGGGGUUCGAAAUAAUAAGCAUAAUUUGGAGAUCCACGAUGGAUGGAGGGCUCCAGCUCCUAACUACACGGAAGACUGCAGCUCGUGAUGAGGAUUUCUCCACCUGGCCUGGCACUGAUUCCUUCUGAGUCAGAAAGAAUAACUGACAACCUGAUUUCGUGGAGAUUUUGGCAUUAAGGACUUGAAGAGCAGGCCCUGUAUUGCUGUUUGUUUCAAAAAAAACCCACACGUGCACAAUAUAUAUGCAUAUGCUCACCGGAUAUUCCUUUAUACAUACAUUAUAUGUGCAUAUAUAGAGUCAGAGCAUGAAUUAUGUGGUUUUUUUACAUGCACACGCAUAUUUUUAACGUAUAAAACACACUUGUUCAAACAUUUAGGUUGCUCUUCAUUCAAAUAAAGCCCUAGACUAGUUUACAGGUCGCUUGAAAGCUCAGUCCCAAUCUGAAAACUAUUUAAGAGCAGAAAUUUAGGUUACACUGUUAACCAAGAACCACUCGAAUUGCAUUAAAUUUGAAGUUUUGUGGGAUAUUUCGUAGAAGCUGCAAGAAAAGAAACGACCAAACUAAAUUUAACAUGAACAACCAUUUUUAAAAAUGUGGUUUUAAACCCAUUUUAAACCCAUUUUGUGUUUUUAAUGUGUUUUUAAACCCCUUUAAUGUGUUUUUCAAACCGUUUUCAAACCAGGACAUAUUUUUAACCCUGGGAUCCUUCUUCCGACUCCCAGGUAGUCGUUAAUGGUGAUUACGGACUACAGGACUAAUUGAUAUUCACGAAAAAUGUUUUUCAACUGUUCUGAGGAAAAACAUUGCCAUAAUUAAGAUUGGAAAUGUACCAUUAGAAAGAACUGUGUUACCUGAACACAGCGGGUUCAAAGUUCUCUCAGCAGUGAAAGGAUAAAGAAUGAUUUCUUCUUUUUCACCUUUCUAAACUCAUCUGAAUUUAAUUGAAUUCUCGGAGGAGAAGAGAAGUUCAAUCAAAGCUCGGCACGGGUCGAAUUUUACUACGAAAUCCCUCUGUAAUUGCGCGAUUUCAUCAAAAGAAAUUCCUUUCGAGCAGCUUUGAGAGCGACGUAUAAACAUCUGCUCUCCCAGAUGGCUGCUUCGCUUCCUCACUUUGCUACCCUAAGCUUCUUAACAUCCCAGUUGUGCCCGCCUGGAGCCGCUUCCCAAAGACAGAAGCUGCGUUUAUUCCCCACCCCUCCCAGUUAUUUAUUCAUUUUAUGGCUGUUGUAUAAAGUUGCUGCGAUAACAACGUCCUCUGCAUGAAUACUUCUGAUAUUACCACAAGAAAAAGGAGGUGAUGGAGUUUUUAUGCCAGUUUUAAGAUGUUGCAGGUUGGUUUUUGUUAAAGAUACCAGCGUGGGGCAGAGAAAAGCCCGCUCAAGCCCACGAUGAAACGCUCCACCCUUUCCCACAAGGUUCAACGUUCAGUUUUGCACAGGAAAAGGGCAGGCUCGCAUCAGGUUCCCUAUUUAUCUGGCUCCUAAGAACGCCAGCAACGAGUAGCACCACAAAUAGAGCAGAUUUUGGUCACAGCUGGCACACAAAGCCCCAAUUUUUAGGUGAAAAAAACAAAAAAGCAGGUGCUGCAGAUUUUCUACCACCGUGGGAGACUUAGAAGCGACGUUUCAAAUGAUUCCGCUUACAUUAACGUGAUUUUCAUCCCUCAGCCAAGCAGAUCUCCAAGAAUUGAACAAGUCAGAUGGGAUGCCAAGGCCUCGGGAACCUGAGGAACACCCGCAAAUCUCAACGACUUCAAAGGUCGUUGCCAAAUUUGGCAUCCAGGAGGAUUCAGCAGGGAAUUUCAGGUUGCAUUACAGCUUUAUUUCCUGAAAAGUGGGCAAUAAAUAAAGCCAGCAGCCUUGGGCAACCCUAACUUCCCAAGGGCUUUCCAUAUAUGAGCUUAAGAAGCAGGAUUUAGGCCAAAUAAUUCUUCCAGGAACUCUUUUCAUAACACUGAGCUAAAACUCUACCCAAGAACUACAAAAACAUCCAAUUUGGCAGGGGAUUCUCACACAGGACAAGGAUUUCUGCACUUUCUGUCACCUUCUUGUUAAAUCGCCUUUUAGGAUUUCCUUCCCCCAACUCUGUUUGAUAUUGUUCUGGACCCACCUGAAUUGCUGCUCCCGUUUUUCAGCCACCAGCUGCUGCCUUUCCUUCUCCCUCUCCUCCCGCAAUAAUUUCGCUCGCUCCCUCAUUUUCGCUUGCUUCUCCAGCAGGGUUUCUUCAAACGCCUCCAUCUCAGCCAAGUAUUUAUUUUCCUCGGCCUCCAGAAGCUCGCGAAGCCUGAAGUGAAGAAAACACUCGAAUAAAAACCAGAAUAAUUUA
Molecule: non-coding RNA, 4583 nt
Organism: Anas platyrhynchos (mallard)
Lineage: Eukaryota; Metazoa; Chordata; Aves; Anseriformes; Anatidae
Source: RefSeq, a predicted model, not a curated record